UCCCUCUGUGUGGUGCUCAGGUCCUCGU
RNAcentral lists this non-coding RNA (28 nucleotides) under Rattus norvegicus (Norway rat). Lineage: Eukaryota; Metazoa; Chordata; Mammalia; Rodentia; Muridae. The record is from RNAcentral.